AGAAGGGAAAGUGGAGGUGGGCAGGUGGUCCGGGUGAGAAGCGGUUUCUGAAUCAGAAGGAAAGGAAAGAGAACCCUUUCUAGGCUUUGAUUGUCUUUGGCGAGGGCUGGGGGUUCUGGUGGUUUUGGGGAAAGGAAUUGUGCGCUUAGAGAGGACGACGCUAGGAGAAUGCAGGCCUUGGGUGCCAUCCUCAGAUUCUGGGGACUGUGGGGGCUUCAUGCAUUUACCAGACUCGUGCCAACGCCCCGGUUUUGCAAGCUGGCCCCUCGUGAGUGGCUUGGAACUCGGGGAAGGGUAUGACUAAUUUCUGAAGCGGACGGCAGAGAAGAGAGAAAGUGUUGAAAAAUGACAUCGUUACCAUUCUUAAAAGGUGUUUCCAAGCCAGGACCCUCUAGAUCGAGCAGAUUUCAAUGCUGUUGAGUAUAUCAAUACCCUGUUCCCAACCGAGCAAUCUCUGGCGAACAUAGACGAAGUCGUGAACAAAAUUAGGCUGAAAAUAAGGAGACUGGAUGACAAUAUUCGAACUGUUGUAAGAGGUCAGACGAACGUGGGGCAGGAUGGACGGCAA
Molecule: small RNA, 568 nt
Filed under: Pan troglodytes (chimpanzee)
Lineage: Eukaryota; Metazoa; Chordata; Mammalia; Primates; Hominidae
Description: processed transcript
Source: RNAcentral